RNAcentral lists this ribosomal RNA (266 nucleotides) under uncultured prokaryote. RNAcentral's name for it is "partial 16S ribosomal RNA". It matches the Rfam family "Bacterial small subunit ribosomal RNA", at positions 524 to 788 of the family's 1533-position model. The record is from RNAcentral.
UACGGAGGAUCCGAGCGUUAUCCGGAUUUAUUGGGUUUAAGGGGUGCGCAGGCGGAAGAUUAAGUCGGUGGUGAAAUUUUGCAGCUCAACUGUAAAAGUGCCAUUGAUACUGGUUUUCUUGAGUGUGGAUGAAGUAGGCGGAAUUUGUGGUGUAGCGGUGAAAUGCAUAGAUAUGACGAGGAACUCCGAUUGCGCAGGCAGCUUACUAAACUACUACUGACGCUCAGGCACGAAGGCGUGGGGAUCAAACAGGAUUAGAUACCCCU